ACCACGGCCUUUUUUAAAGCUAUCAACAUUUUGAAAAAAAUACAGU
Non-coding RNA from Triticum aestivum (bread wheat), 46 nucleotides. Lineage: Eukaryota; Viridiplantae; Streptophyta; Magnoliopsida; Poales; Poaceae. The record is from Rfam.